CUACGGGGGGCUGCAGUGGGGAAUAUUGGACAAUGGGGGAAACCCUGAUCCAGCAAUGCCGCGUGUGUGAAGAAGGCCUGCGGGUUGUAAAGCACUUUCGGUUGGGAGGACUGCUUCUAGCACUAAUAUUGUUGGAAGUUGACGUUACCUUCAGAAGAAGCACCGGCUAACUCCGCUGCCAGCAGCCGCGGUAAUACGGAGGGUGCAAGCGUUAAUCGGAAUUACUGGGCGUAAAGCGCGCGUAGGCGGCUAGAUCAGUCGGGUGUGAAAGCCCCGGGCUUAACCUGGGAACUGCAUCCGAUACUGUCUAGCUUGAGUACAGGAGAGGAGAGUGGAAUUCCACAUGUAGCGGUGAAAUGCGUAGAUAUGUGGAGGAACACCAAUGGCGAAGGCAGCUCUCUGGCCUGAUACUGACGCUGAGGUGCGAAAGCGUGGGGAUCAAACAGGAUUAGAUACCCGUGUAGUC
RNAcentral lists this ribosomal RNA (466 nucleotides) under uncultured bacterium. Its description in RNAcentral is "partial 16S ribosomal RNA". It matches the Rfam family "Bacterial small subunit ribosomal RNA", at positions 339 to 795 of the family's 1533-position model. The record is from RNAcentral.